Long non-coding RNA from Homo sapiens (human), 440 nucleotides. Ensembl annotates it as SVIL antisense RNA 1. Its record names the gene SVIL-AS1. Lineage: Eukaryota; Metazoa; Chordata; Mammalia; Primates; Hominidae. The record is from Ensembl.
CUGACAAGACAGAAAGAGAGCUGGGUUGAGGUCGGGGCGGAUUCAGAGCCCACCGUGUCAGCAAAGACACAUAAGGAACUCGCCCUCCGGAAAGACGCGGGGGAAUUCUGGGAGUGCGCGGCCUUGGAGCGCGCACAUGCGCGGCAGCUCCCGCUGCUGAAUAGCUGAGAGGCGCACCCGGGCGGCCAGCUGGGCUCGGAGUGCAGCGGGGUUAGGAUGGACGAGGACGUGUUGCACCCUGAAGAGCCUCAUCAUCGCCUGCUCUUGAGGUUCACAGAUGAUACCUUUGAUCCAGAACUUGCAGCAACAAUAGGUUCACCUGCUUCCAGGCGGGCAGGGCGUUGUAUUCAUCCCUCGUCAUGUCUAGUGCAAACUGGAAACAUUGGGAGAAGCGCCCCGCGGCUCAGUGAAAGGAGCCGGGCGUGCGUGUGUUGUUUUAC